This 94-nucleotide transfer RNA is filed under the name Venturia inaequalis. Its description in RNAcentral is "tRNA-Phe". It matches the Rfam family "tRNA". Rfam says of the family: Transfer RNA (tRNA) molecules are approximately 80 nucleotides in length. The record is from RNAcentral. Lineage: Eukaryota; Fungi; Ascomycota; Dothideomycetes; Venturiales; Venturiaceae.
GCGGCUUUAGCUCACUUGGGAGAGCGCCAGACUGAAGUACACUUCAGAUCAAUGUGAUAUCUGGAGGCACUGUGUUCGAUCCACAGAAGCCGCA